AGCAAAGGUGUAGUCGGGUAGUUUCUAACUCUGCACGGCCUGUUCUCUGAGAUCGAGGUUAUUCUCUUCCUUUGCUUCUUAACGAGUUUCUAAGUGCGCUUUUAUUUUCGCACCGUCUCUUCCUUUUUUUCACUCGCUUUCAGUGUUUGAACUUCAUUUUACAUUGCAGCUGUCUUUUGUUUUGCUGCAGUUAUCGUUUUCUGCUUCUGGCUUGCGUGAUCGUGAUGUGCUCUUCAAGGUUCAUUUAUCUCGGUUAAGUAUUUCAUGAAUCUGAACCUCUUGUCUACCUAUUUAAUUAUUUUUGUAUCUUUCUUUGAUCAUGAAAGAGUUAAUAUCCAAGCAACAUGUUAAUAAUCCCGUAAAAUGGGAUAUUGUAAUUCACAAUUUGCUUGAUAUACUCAUAACUUCAACAGUUGAUUUUCUAAUCAAACUAUAUAUUCCUAUACAAUUGUAUGCAAAUUUUACAGAAUAAAAGCCACGUCUAGGAUAUUUAAUCCGACCCAUAUAAACUUUAUCUAAUAACAAAAACUGUACUCAAAAUAAUAUCAAAAUCAAAAUUUGUUACUAGCAUGACAAAAGAAACGUAGCCGGCUGCACCUCAAAUUGCAAAGAAAGAGUGAUGACCAAUGAAAAUAUGAUCCAAGUGAACUACCCUGCCACUUCUUGUAAUCAUGACCAAAAAACCAAAAUCAUUUUGUAAUCACACGCCAAGGAAAGUAAUUUGUUGUUUCUUUGACAUUCGAUUCCUAGAAGUCAAAAUUAAAAUGCAUAAUUGCUUUUGAGAGGGGGGGUAAUUUUCAAUUUUCAGUGAUCAUGCAUGCAUGAACCUUUGCACUUCAAUGUACAACAAACAUGUUCGAUAAAGAAACUCUAUGCUGCCAACACAUUUCCACUAUCACCACAAAAAAAUAGCAACACUACCUCAGUCUUGAUCUAAUUCAGCCUGAAUUGCAUGCAAGUUCUUAACUUCAGAAUUCCCAUAUCUUGAAGCAGCAAAGCCAUAUGAUGCCACAGUUCCCACAAGGACCACAAGAACCGCAACAAAGAGCUGAAUGUUAGCAAGCAAUUCGCCCCAAACCUCGCUAUCAAUAGAAUCACACGUGACACUGUUUUCCCUAAGCUUACAACCACUUGGCAUCACUGGGCCAUAGAGAACAAAGGCAGUCUGAUAGAACCAUAAGCUUUGCAGUGCUAUAGCAAUGUCAUUGCAUAAAUCCACUGGAAUAGGAUGCAAGUACAGCACAGGUAUGUUUCUCCUCUUUCUUCCUUCUUCCAUUUAUUUUAACUUUUUCUUUUAAAAUGAAUUAAUUUUUCUUGAUCUCCAUUUUUUUUUCUUGUUUUUAAUCAUGUGCCUAUAUACUAAUGAAAGAAAUGUUUUUUUUAUCACUCCUCUACUUUGUGUCUGCAUUUUUAUUAAGAGAAAGGAAGAAAAGGUUAACAAUUUUUAUAUUUUUAAAAUAAAUACUCUAAAAUCUAUAACUAUUAAUAAUAAUAAUUAUCCCAUUCUGGUGUACGCAAUUUGAAUUUCUUAUUUAUCCUUUAUAUAUUUAUAAUCUAUAACAAUAUAUAUAUAUAUAUAUAUAUAUAUAUAUAUAUAUAUAUAUAUAUAUAUAUAUAUAUAUAUAAAAGAAAUAUUCUUUUUUGUGUACACAUUUUGUCUCUUGCCACUAAAUUAAUUAAUAAAAAAAUUACUACAUAUUAUUCUUACCUUGCAACUGAUAAUGUAAAACGCAUAAACUGAACAUGAUAAAUUUUUUAAAUGGACAAUUUUUGUCUCAACUUCUUCUUAGUAACCACCCAUUUUCCCUAUUCUCUUCCGGACAUGGAUACCUUUACGCAUUAAUCAUGUUGUAACUGCAUGGUUGUUGUUUCAUUUUUUAUUCAUCAUUUAUGAAUCUUUUUCCAUUUUCUAUUUUGUUCCUUCUCUCUCUUCCUUUCUCUGAUCCAUUUAUGAAUUAGUUUAAUUGAACUUGCGUUUGGCCUCUCCUCAAACUGCUUUUCAUUAAUGUGUUGUAAUAAUGUAACGCAUUUUUUUUCAGGUUGAGAGUGCACAAGUUGAAACGUCAGCGUGCAAUUAUGGUGAACAACAACAAAUAAGGUCUCCAUGCAAGAGGUGGAUUCAACGGAGGAGGAGCAUAUCACCAAAACCAAAUCUCGCUGCAUUCUAUCGCCAGUGCCGCCGCAGAAAAUGCCGACGGAGUCAGAGCUCGAAGGUUUCUUCGCCGCUGCGGAGAAAGACAUUCAAAAACACUUCGGAGAAAGAGUUUUUAAAAUGUGAAAUUAAAACUGAAUUAAAAAUAUGGGGUAUAUAUAUAUAUAUUGAAGUGUUUGAAAUUUUGCAUAUUUUAUUUAUUUAUGUUCAUUAAUC
Molecule: long non-coding RNA, 2368 nt
Filed under: Glycine max (soybean)
Lineage: Eukaryota; Viridiplantae; Streptophyta; Magnoliopsida; Fabales; Fabaceae
Description: long non-coding RNA (GMAX_LNC004606)
Source: RNAcentral